RNAcentral lists this long non-coding RNA (627 nucleotides) under Theobroma cacao (cacao). RNAcentral describes it as "long non-coding RNA (TCAC_LNC002598)". The record is from RNAcentral. Lineage: Eukaryota; Viridiplantae; Streptophyta; Magnoliopsida; Malvales; Malvaceae.
AGAGAGAGUGGUGCUUAUAGGCAGAAGGACUGAAGGAGGGGUGUCCUAAUGAGCAGUAAAUGCAUUUGGGUUGGGGAUUUUAUUGCCUGAUUCUCAAGGUGAAGGUGGACGGCUUGCUCAAAAGUUACAUGUUGUUGUCCUUUUCUGCCAUUGGGUGACCCAUCAUCACCCAACGGGUUUGUCAUCAAACACAGGCUCUGACUAAAGUCAAGGGUAACCAAUUUUGAGUUCAGAAAUUCACCCAAUCAAAGGAAUUGGAAAACCAGAAGCAUCGAGAUACCAAAAAACAAUAGGAGCAACAGUUUCUGAAUUGAAAUGUACAAACUUUCAGACAUGAUGUGCAAGGUGACUGGAUUGAACUUUAUUAAUCUUCAUCAUAUACCAACUAAGCUUCUACUCUUAUUACACCAAUUCAACUUAAGAAUCACAAUUAAUCAACAACAUUUAACAACAAUGAACAUACAUAACUUUUAUCCAAUCCCCAAUGCAAGUUGUGUUCCAACACAACCUUUUCGUAUAUCAGGGGACAGGGGACCAUUCACAAUAUUAUCUCCUUAAUUCCAACUCAAUAAAAGAGAUGAACUUUUUAGCCUUUGGGGUAGUUUGUGCCACCCAUCAUGACUUAAC